CCAAGGCAAGUUCACUGCUGAGUGGGAUGUCCCUUUGUAGUGACAGAGAGCAGAGCUGGUGCUUGUGAACUUCAGUCCAUUGCUCUGAACUCACAGAGAGGUCCUAAGGGCUAUGAUAUGGGCUCUGACCCAGUGGAAUGACUCAGCCCAGCAGAGUACUAUGCCCUCAUCACCCUCGCUGAAAACUGGAAGAUGCUAUGCUUCUCAUGUGCUAGCUACACAGUGUCAUGGCUUACCCAGUACAUGUUCAAGCAGUGAGCGGCCCUAGCUUGAUGCUCCAGGGGGCCUGGUACAUGGGCUAUCCAUCAGUGUAGUCAUCAUAGUUUAAGACUAUGGGGGUGCAGACAAGGAAGGCUAACUCCCAGGCACUUCCUGCUUCUGUCUGUGAAUGUCAGUAUUCUGGGUUUGGUCAUGGGAGGACAACAGCAUUGGGAAUGGGGGUUAAAAUGAUCCAGGACAUCUGGGCAGAGCAUAUAUAUUCCUGUACAGCAGUAGACAUCACAAGCAUCCUUUUGUUUUGUUUUGUUUGUAAAAAGAUUUAUUUAUUUACUUUAUGUAUAUGAGUACACUGUCGCUGUCUUCAUACACACCAGAAGAGGGCAUCAGAUUUCCUUACAGAUGGUGGUGAGCCACCAUGUGGUUGCUGGGAUUUGAACUCAGGACCUUCGGAAGAGCAGUCAGAGCUCUUAACCGCUGAGCCAUCUUUCCAGCCCGCAAGCAUCCUUUAAAACCCUAUUUUAUUUUAUGCAUAUAAAUCUUUUGCCUGCAUGUAUGUCUGUGUACCACAUACUUACCUGAUGAUGUAUGCGGAGGUUAGAAGAGGGUACUGGAUCCUUUGGAACUGGAGUUACAGAUGGCUAUGAGUCACCAUUAGGAUGCUAGGAAUUGAACCUGGGCCCUCUGGAAGAGCAGCCAGUGGUCUUAACAGCUGGGUCACCUCUCUAGCACCACAGCUCAUGCAUCCUUAUGGACCUUGCAGAUUCCAAACUGGCACUCACCCCAGAUGUCAUGUGUAUCUCCUUCAGGUGGGUGCGUGGCUUGUUUCUCUCUUUUCUUUUUUUUUGAGGUUAUAAUAUAAUUACAUUAUUUCCUCCUUUUCACCCUAUUCUCCAAUCCCUUCCAUGUGCAGCUCCCCUCUUUCCAUUCAGAUUCUUUUUCUUUAAUAUUGUGUGUGUUCCUAAAUUACCAAAUGCAACCUGCUCAGUCUGUGACUGUUACUUAUAUGUAUGUUUUCAGGCUGACCUUGCGGUAUUGGAUAAGUGGUUGGAUUCCUUGGUUGCCUUAGCUCUUUGUCUACCUACAGUCUUGGUGUAGAAUUGAGGCCUCCGGAACUCCCCUCACCACAUUCUCAUGUCUUCUGGUGUCAGCCCUGGUCAGCUCCUAUUUAGGCAGCCAUGUUGGUGAGAGUUCACGGGUGUAGCAGCUGACACUUUUAGGAGUCACAGUCUCUCAGGCUUUAGUCUUUCUUCAAAGGUUACCUUUUUUUUUUUUUUAAUAAUUUCUUGGGCUGGAGAGAUGGCUCAGCAGUUAAGAGCACUGACUGCUCUGCCAGAGGUCCUGAGUUCAAUUCCCCGCAACCACAGGGUGGCUCACAACCAUCUGUAAUAAGACCUGAUACCUUCUUCCAGUGUGUCUGAAGACAGCUACAGUGUACUCAUGUAAAUAAAAAUAAAUAAAUAAAUAAAUCUUUUAAAAAAAGAAAGAAAUAAAUUCUCGUGCAAUGUAUGGAUGCUUCAUCUGUCAAUAAAAAAGUCUAUGGCCAAUGAGCAGAGACAGGAUUAGAAGGUGGGACAUCCGGCUGAGAGAGAAAGGAUUCUGGGAGAUAGUCAGGCAUGGGAGAUUCACCCCAGACACAGAAUAAGACAGCGCAUGCAACUGAGGACCAGGUAUGACUUAGAAUAGAAUAAAUAGGUAAUUAAGUUAUGAGCUAGCUGGGAACAAGCAAAGCUUUU
This 1952-nucleotide long non-coding RNA is filed under the name Mus musculus (house mouse). RNAcentral describes it as "long non-coding RNA chr15:79841370-79843322". The record is from RNAcentral. Lineage: Eukaryota; Metazoa; Chordata; Mammalia; Rodentia; Muridae.